AGGGUUUGAUUAUGGCUCAGAUUGAACGCUGGCUGCAUGCUUAACGCAUGCAAGUCGAACGAGAAAGUGCCUUCGGGCGCGAGUAAAGUGGCGGACGGGUGAGUAAUGCAUAGGAAUCUGCCCAGUAGUAGGGGACAACUCGGGGAAACUCGAGCUAAUACCGUAUAUUUCCUAAGGGAGAAAGACUUCGGUCGCUAUUGGAUGAGCCUAUGUCAGAUUAGCUUGUUGGUAGGGUAAUGGCCUACCAAGGCGACGAUCUGUAGCUGGUCUGAGAGGAUGAUCAGCCACACUGGGACUGAGACACGGCCCAGACUCCUACGGGAGGCAGCAGUGGGGAAUAUUGGACAAUGGGCGAAAGCCUGAUCCAGCAAUGCAGCGUGUGUGAAGAAGGCCUGAGGGUUGUAAAGCACUUUCAGUAGGGAAGAUAAUGACGGUACCUACAGAAGAAGCACCGGCUAACUCCGUGCCAGCCGCCGCGGUAAUA
RNAcentral lists this ribosomal RNA (484 nucleotides) under uncultured bacterium. RNAcentral describes it as "bacterial SSU rRNA". It matches the Rfam family "Bacterial small subunit ribosomal RNA", at positions 8 to 525 of the family's 1533-position model. The record is from RNAcentral.